Molecule: long non-coding RNA, 565 nt
Organism: Chionomys nivalis (European snow vole)
Lineage: Eukaryota; Metazoa; Chordata; Mammalia; Rodentia; Cricetidae
Exons: 3
Source: RefSeq, a predicted model, not a curated record
GCUCUACCAGCUCUUGUCUUAAAACAUUUGCCUCAGUGAGCAUUGCAUAUGACUGUGCCAUCCUUACUUUAUGGGUUAAUUAUGAUCCUAUCGACAAUCGGCUUAGUCUGGGACUGGGGCUACGAAGGCCCGGGGCAAGGGAGUCACGAUCUAGAUGUAGACAGCCUUUGACCUGGAACUUGGACGGCAGGAUCCUGGGCAGCUGUUGCACUGAGUUACUGUGAACAAGGCCUGGAUCUGUUUACCUUAUCUUUCUAGAACCUGAGGUCUAUGGAGAUGAUUGCAAUGACGUCUUCAGUACGCCCAUUAUUGUUAUGUGCAGUCCCCUUUGGAAUCUGCCUCCAUCACGGCUGCAAAGAAGUGGAGUCUUUGGAAUUUGAACUUGCCUCAACUUGCAUGAACCAUAAAAACCCAGCAGCACAGCCAUCAGCGGGCAUGGCAGCUUUGGCUUGGAUUCUUUUUCAUCCCGCCUUUGUGUACAGACAUCAUCUGAUCUACCAGGAAGAAGAAAAGUCAAGCUGCAGCUGUGUCCCACCCCAACGCCCGGUACAGCACAGCAUAGCAG